UCCUGGCAGGGUGGUGCACACCUGUAGUUCUGGCUACUCAGGAGGUUGAGGUGGGAGGGUUGCUUGAGUCCAGGAAUUCUGGGCUGUAGUGUGCUAUGCUGAUCCAGUGCCUGCACGAAGUUCUGUAUCAAUAUGGUAACCUAUCGGACGUGGGCGACCAGCAGGUUGCCUAAGGAGAGGCGAACCGACCCAGCUCAGAAAAGAAACAGGUCAAAACUCCCAAGCUCACCAGUAGUGAGAUCACGCCUGUGAACAGCCACUGCAUGCCAGCCUGGGCAAUAUCACUGUCUCUA
Unclassified non-coding RNA from Papio anubis (olive baboon), 293 nucleotides. It matches the Rfam family "Metazoan signal recognition particle RNA". Rfam says of the family: The signal recognition particle (SRP) is a universally conserved ribonucleoprotein. It is involved in the co-translational targeting of proteins to membranes. The eukaryotic SRP consists of a 300-nucleotide 7S RNA and six proteins: SRPs 72, 68, 54, 19, 14, and 9. NCBI's taxonomy places the organism in Eukaryota, Metazoa, Chordata, Mammalia, Primates, Cercopithecidae. The record is from Ensembl.